AACGAACGCUGGCGGCAGGCCUAACACAUGCAAGUCGAACGCCGUAGCAAUACGGAGUGGCAGACGGGUGAGUAACGCGUGGGAACAUACCCUCCGGUUCGGAAUAACUCAGGGAAACUUGAGCUAAUACCGGAUACGUCCAAGGUUUUAAUCGGCCUCGGAGAAAGAUUUAUCGCUGGAGGAUUGGCCCGCGUCUGAUUAGCUUGUUGGUGAGGUAAUGGCUCACCAAGGCGACGAUCAGUAGCUGGUCUGAGAGGAUGAUCAGCCACAUUGGGACUGAGACACGGCCCAAACUCCUACGGGAGGCAGCAGUGGGGAAUAUUGGACAAUGGGCGAAAGCCUGAUCCAGCCAUGCCGCGUGAGUGAUGAAGGCCUUAGGGUUGUAAAGCUCUUUUACCCGGGAAGAUAAUGACGGUACCGGGAG
RNAcentral lists this ribosomal RNA (424 nucleotides) under uncultured bacterium. RNAcentral describes it as "bacterial SSU rRNA". It matches the Rfam family "Bacterial small subunit ribosomal RNA", at positions 29 to 484 of the family's 1533-position model. The record is from RNAcentral.